GUCUACGGCCAUACCACCCUGAAUAAGUCCGAUCCCGUCUGAUCUCGGAAGCUAAGCAGGGUCGGGCCUGGUUAGUACUUGGAUGGGAGGCCAUCUAGGAAGACCAGGUGCUGUAGGCA
Pteropus alecto (black flying fox) is the source of this 119-nucleotide non-coding RNA. The record is from Rfam. NCBI's taxonomy places the organism in Eukaryota, Metazoa, Chordata, Mammalia, Chiroptera, Pteropodidae.